This 600-nucleotide ribosomal RNA is filed under the name Escherichia coli. RNAcentral's name for it is "bacterial SSU rRNA". It matches the Rfam family "Bacterial small subunit ribosomal RNA", at positions 38 to 629 of the family's 1533-position model. The record is from RNAcentral. Lineage: Bacteria; Pseudomonadati; Pseudomonadota; Gammaproteobacteria; Enterobacterales; Enterobacteriaceae.
UGUGGUUGGCGCUACCAUGCAGUCGAACGGUAACAGGAAGCAGCUUGCUGCUUUGCUGACGAGUGGCGGACGGGUGAGUAAUGUCUGGGAAACUGCCUGAUGGAGGGGGAUAACUACUGGAAACGGUAGCUAAUACCGCAUAACGUCGCAAGACCAAAGAGGGGGACCUUAGGGCCUCUUGCCAUCGGAUGUGCCCAGAUGGGAUUAGCUAGUAGGUGGGGUAACGGCUCACCUAGGCGACGAUCCCUAGCUGGUCUGAGAGGAUGACCAGCCACACUGGAACUGAGACACGGUCCAGACUCCUACGGGAGGCAGCAGUGGGGAAUAUUGCACAAUGGGCGCAAGCCUGAUGCAGCCAUGCCGCGUGUAUGAAGAAGGCCUUCGGGUUGUAAAGUACUUUCAGCGGGGAGGAAGGGAGUAAAGUUAAUACCUUUGCUCAUUGACGUUACCCGCAGAAGAAGCACCGGCUAACUCCGUGCCAGCAGCCGCGGUAAUACGGAGGGUGCAAGCGUUAAUCGGAAUUACUGGGCGUAAAGCGCACGCAGGCGGUUUGUUAAGUCAGAUGUGAAAUCCCCGGGCUCAACCUGGGAACUGCAUCUG